Molecule: non-coding RNA, 117 nt
Filed under: Ananas comosus (pineapple)
Lineage: Eukaryota; Viridiplantae; Streptophyta; Magnoliopsida; Poales; Bromeliaceae
Source: RNAcentral
GGGGUAUGUAGUGAUGUUGUUGACAGAAGAUAGAGAGCACAGAUGAUGAGAUGCAUGGUGCCAUGCGCCUUACUUCUUUGUGCUCUCUAUGCUUCUGUCAUCAUCACCAUCGGCCCU